GACGAACGCUGGCGGCGUGCUUAACACAUGCCAGUCGAACGGAAAGGCCCUGCUUUUGUGGGGUGCUCGAGUGGCGAACGGGUGAGUAACACGUGAGUAACCUGCCCUUGACUUUGGGAUAACUUCAGGAAACUGGGGCUAAUACCGGAUAGGAGCUCCUGCUGCAUGGUGGGGGUUGGAAAGUUUCGGCGGUUGGGGAUGGACUCGCGGUUUAUCAGCUUGUUGGUGGGGUAGUGGUUUACCAAGGCUUUGACGGGUAGCCGGCCUGAGAGGGUGACCGGCCACAUUGGGACUGAGAUACGGCCCAGACUCCUACGGGAGGCAGCAGUGGGGAAUAUUGCACAAUGGGCGGAAGCCUGAUGCAGCAACGCCGCGUGCGGGAUGACGGCCUUCGGGUUGUAAACCGCUUUCGCCUGUGACGAAGCGUGAGUGACGGUAAUGGGUAAAGAAGCACCGGCUAACUACGUG
This 468-nucleotide ribosomal RNA is filed under the name uncultured bacterium. Its description in RNAcentral is "partial 16S ribosomal RNA". It matches the Rfam family "Bacterial small subunit ribosomal RNA", at positions 28 to 507 of the family's 1533-position model. The record is from RNAcentral.